This 253-nucleotide ribosomal RNA is filed under the name uncultured bacterium. RNAcentral's name for it is "partial 16S ribosomal RNA". It matches the Rfam family "Bacterial small subunit ribosomal RNA", at positions 524 to 776 of the family's 1533-position model. The record is from RNAcentral.
UACGUAGGGUGCGAGCGUUGUCCGGAAUUAUUGGGCGUAAAGAGCUCGUAGGCGGUUUGUCACGUCUGCUGUGAAAUCCCGAGGCUCAACCUCGGGCCUGCAGUGGGUACGGGCAGACUGGAGUGCGGUAGGGGAGAAUGGAAUUCCUGGUGUAGCGGUGGAAUGCGCAGAUAUCAGGAGGAACACCGAUGGCGAAGGCAGUUCUCUGGGCCGUAACUGACGCUGAGGAGCGAAAGCGUGGAGAGCGAACAGG